GAAAUCGUCAUACUAGUUGGAGCUGGAUCAUCAAGGUGUGGGGAGAAAGCCACAGGGAGCUGAAAAGUUUCCUUGCCAAUACUGAAUGUAGUCCAUCCUCUCCGCUCCUCAUCUGCCUGAAGGUGGAGACAAGGGGAAAGAUGAAGAGAAAGGCAGGUGGUUACAAUAGAAAUCUAAGCAACCGAAGACUCUUCUACUUACCCCUGGCAAUUGAUGAUAUGCUCCGAAGA
RNAcentral lists this long non-coding RNA (230 nucleotides) under Callithrix jacchus (white-tufted-ear marmoset). RNAcentral describes it as "lncRNA (ENSCJAG00000071277.1)". Lineage: Eukaryota; Metazoa; Chordata; Mammalia; Primates; Cebidae. The record is from RNAcentral.